This 911-nucleotide ribosomal RNA is filed under the name Oxyporus corticola. RNAcentral's name for it is "eukaryotic LSU rRNA". It matches the Rfam family "Eukaryotic large subunit ribosomal RNA", at positions 66 to 961 of the family's 3401-position model. Lineage: Eukaryota; Fungi; Basidiomycota; Agaricomycetes; Hymenochaetales; Schizoporaceae. The record is from RNAcentral.
UAACAAGGAUUCCCCUAGUAACUGCGAGUGAAGCGGGAAAAGCUCAAAUUUAAAAUCUGGCGGGUUCCCCGUCCGAGUUGUAAUCUGGAGAAGCGUUUUCCGUGUCGGACCGUGUACAAGUCCCUUGGAAUGGGGCGUCAUAGAGGGUGAGAAUCCCGUCCAUGACACGGACUACCGAUGCUUUGUGAUACGCUCUCGAAGAGUCGAGUUGUUUGGGAAUGCAGCUCAAAAUGGGUGGUAAAUUCCAUCUAAAGCUAAAUAUUGGCGAGAGACCGAUAGCGAACAAGUACCGUGAGGGAAAGAUGAAAAGCACUUUGGAAAGAGAGUUAAACAGUACGUGAAAUUGUUGAAAGGGAAACGCUUGAAGUCAGUCGCGUCCGUCRAGACUCAGCCUUGCCUUUGGGCCUGGUGUAUUUCUUGGUGGACGGGUCAACAUCGAUUUUGAAUGGCAGAUAAAGGUCUGGGGAAUGUGGCACCUCCGGGUGUGUUAUAGCCCCUCUCCGUAUAUGCUGUUUGGGAUCGAGGAACGCAGCACGCCCUUGUGGCCGGGGUUUUACCCACGUACCGUGCUUAGGAUGUUGGCAUAAUGGCUUUAAGCGACCCGUCUUGAAACACGGACCAAGGAGUCUAACAUGCCUGCGAGUGUUAGGGUGCAAAACCCUUGCGCGUAAUGAAAGUGAAAGUUGGGACCUCUGUCGAGGAGGGCACCGACGCCCGGCCCUGAACUCUUGUGACGGUGCUGCGGUAGAGCAUGUAUGUUGGGACCCGAAAGAUGGUGAACUAUGCCUGAAUAGGGCGAAGCCAGAGGAAACUCUGGUGGAGGCUCGUAGCGAUUCUGACGUGCAAAUCGAUCGUCAAAUUUGGGUAUAGGGGCGAAAGACUAAUCGAACCAUCUAGUAGCUGGUUCCUGC